UACGAAGGGGGCUAGCGUUGUUCGGAAUUACUGGGCGUAAAGCGCACGUAGGCGGACUCUUAAGUCAGGGGGGAAAUCCCGGGGCUCAACCUCGGAACUGCCUUUGAUACUGUGAGUCUCGAGACCGGAAGAGGUGAGUGGAAUUCCUAGUGUAGAGGUGAAAUUCGUAGUUAUUAGGAAGAACACCAGUGGCGAAGGCGGCUCAUUGGUCCGGUUCUGACGCUGGGGGGGAAAACGUGGGGAGCAAACAGG
RNAcentral lists this ribosomal RNA (252 nucleotides) under uncultured bacterium. RNAcentral's name for it is "partial 16S ribosomal RNA". It matches the Rfam family "Bacterial small subunit ribosomal RNA", at positions 524 to 776 of the family's 1533-position model. The record is from RNAcentral.